GUAGUGACCUGCGGAGGAUCAUUGA
This 25-nucleotide ribosomal RNA is filed under the name Arrhenia sp. EL-2019a. RNAcentral's name for it is "partial small subunit ribosomal RNA". The record is from RNAcentral. Lineage: Eukaryota; Fungi; Basidiomycota; Agaricomycetes; Agaricales; Hygrophoraceae.